AGAGUUUGAUCCUGGCUCAGGAUGAACGCUAGCUACAGGCUUAACACAUGCAAGUCGAGGGGAAACGACAUCGAAAGCUUGCUUUUGAUGGGCGUCGACCGGCGCACGGGUGAGUAACGCGUAUCCAACCUGCCCACCACUUGGGGAUAACCUUGCGAAAGUAAGACUAAUACCCAAUGACGUCUCUAGAAGACAUCUGAAAGGGAUUAAAGAUUUAUCGGUGAUGGAUGGGGAUGCGUCUGAUUAGCUUGUCGGCGGGGUAACGGCCCACCAAGGCGACGAUCAGUAGGGGUUCUGAGAGGAAGGUCCCCCACAUUGGAACUGAGACACGGUCCAAACUCCUACGGGUGGCA
This 353-nucleotide ribosomal RNA is filed under the name uncultured bacterium. RNAcentral describes it as "bacterial SSU rRNA". It matches the Rfam family "Bacterial small subunit ribosomal RNA", at positions 8 to 350 of the family's 1533-position model. The record is from RNAcentral.